RNAcentral lists this ribosomal RNA (270 nucleotides) under uncultured bacterium. RNAcentral's name for it is "partial 16S ribosomal RNA". It matches the Rfam family "Bacterial small subunit ribosomal RNA", at positions 32 to 285 of the family's 1533-position model. The record is from RNAcentral.
AAUCAACGCUGGCGGCGUGCCUAACACAUGCAAGUCGAACGCGAAAGUCCCGAAAGGGAUUAGUAGAGUGGCAAACGGGUGAGUAACGCGUGGGUGACCUGCCUUCGAGCGGGGGAUAACGUUCCGAAAGGGACGCUAAUACCGCGUAAUAUCCUGCCUUUCAAGAGGUGGAGAUCAAAGCUGGGGAUCGCAAGACCCGGCGCUCGAAGAGGGGCCCGCGUCCGAUUAGCUAGUUGGUGAGGUAACGGCUCACCAAGGCGACGAUCGGUA